UGAGGAAUCUUCCGCAAUGGACGAAAGUCUGACGGAGCGACACCGCGUGAAGGAUGAAGGCUUUAUUGUUGUAAACUUCUUUUUUGAGGGAAGAUAAUGACGGUACCUCAAGAAUAAGGGACGGCUAACUACGUGCCAGCAGCCGCGGUAAUACGUAGGUCCCAAGCAUUAUCCGGAAUUACUGGGCGUAAAGCGUCUGUAGGUGGAUAAAUAAGUUUAGUAUGAAAGACCGAAGCUCAACUUCGUGUUUGUACUAAAAACUAUUUGUCUGGAACUAGGGAGGGGUAAGCGGAAUUCUCAGAGUAGAGGUGCAAUUCGUAGAUACUGAGAAGAACACCAAAAGCGAAGGCAGCUUACUGGAACUAUGUUGACACUGAGAGACGAAAGCGUGGGGAGCGAA
This 400-nucleotide ribosomal RNA is filed under the name uncultured bacterium. RNAcentral's name for it is "bacterial SSU rRNA". It matches the Rfam family "Bacterial small subunit ribosomal RNA", at positions 355 to 772 of the family's 1533-position model. The record is from RNAcentral.